GGACAAGGAGCUGUCACGUGGCUGUCCCUCUCCUCCCUACGGAAGUGAAUGCAGAAAACAAACCAGAGUUCUGGAGAAGAGGAGAUUUAACAGAGGGGGAGAGGGAUACAGUAGCAAGCAGGUAGAAAGGAUUGUUUUCUCAGUAGCACCUGUGUGAGUUUAGCAUUUUCUUUCUCACCUCUUCUUGGGGCAUUAGCAAUGACUGGGUGCUACACCCAUACCGUGGUCAGGGGUGUGCCCUCCUCCCUGGCACAGGAGGCGGAUGGGAAGAUCGAACUGGCAAGAGCACAAAGGGAGAGUGGUGUGUACUGUGGCAUUCUGAGGCAGAAGCUGGGCUUGCAGGUAGUGGAACUUCCCCCUAAUGAGCACCUGGUCCCCGAUUCCUGUUCAGAGGUGUCCAAGAUUGGGGGCUGUCUGACAGCCUGCUCUAUACUAAUAAGCCGCAAAGUGGAGAUAUAAACUCAACAUUUCGGCCAGGCCAAGGGAGACCUGCAUAG
Non-coding RNA from Pelobates cultripes (western spadefoot toad), 497 nucleotides. The record is from the annotation of a GenBank genome assembly. Lineage: Eukaryota; Metazoa; Chordata; Amphibia; Anura; Pelobatidae.